Long non-coding RNA from Bombus terrestris (buff-tailed bumblebee), 2433 nucleotides. RefSeq lists it as uncharacterized. NCBI's taxonomy places the organism in Eukaryota, Metazoa, Arthropoda, Insecta, Hymenoptera, Apidae. The record is from RefSeq and is a predicted model, not a curated record. The transcript is spliced from 4 exons.
AAAGCUUAAUAUAAUGUCCAAAUAUGUAUUUUCAUCGGAUAAAUAAGUAUUGCAAUAUUUUGUUUCAUAUGAUACUAGACUUGGAUAGCUCGUAGAAUAAAUUUCCACUCGAUUUGGUUUGUACUGCAUUCUAGAAGUUUCUAAAAUGGUUAAUGGUAUGUAAUUUUCCUGUUUUUUCUUUUUCGUCGUAUAUCUCAAAGGAAACCAGCGCCGAUUAAAAAACCUCAUAACAAAAGAAUGCAUAAUGAGACAAGACUAAACUAGAACGCAGUUACUAUCGCUUAUUUCCAGUUAUUUCCUGCAUUUAAGUUAGGUAUAAUAAUACCGUUGCUUUUUUUAGAAUACCAUGUAAUCGUAAAAUUCAUGAGUUCCUGUCAGUCUUUUUGUAAAAAUGACGCGCUCGAUCAUUCCUGUACUUAAUUAUAGGGAAUGAGAUAAACCCAUCGCGAUCUAUUUGUGCGUUACGUGGAUGUAUGAAAGUGUGCCUGCCAAAAUGUGGUGUUGCCAACUAUAAGAAGGAUAGAAAAUUCAUAAGAUUACAUAAUUGCGUUCCAAAGGAAAAUAGCUUCAUUUUCUACGUAAAUUCUUUAAUUGCCAAUCUAAGCAAUAUUUAUAAUUCUAAAAGCAUAUUUUUUUUAAGAAUAAUCUUAUACUUUAUUUAAUCUCUAGUAUAUUAUCUAUACUUACUAUCCAAUCUUAUAUCACUAUUCUAUUUAAAUUAUUAUUAAACGUAUUUCUGUAACAAACAUAUUUGUAUGCUAACAAAAAAUACGACCGAUUCAGAAUAUUUAAGAAUAAUUGAAAAGUCGUGAAUUGCGAUCACACGUGAUGUUACAUUAAACAAAUGGGACAGCUUAAUCCCUGCAAUAAAUCGAUAGAAUCACAAUGAAUGGAACAACGGAACGUAUGAAAUGGAGAUUAAAAUAAAUUGUACAGCAGCUAAUUCAAAGUCCUCAUCAUGAUUAAGAUCACAUCAAAGUGCAAUCCCGCACUUGGAUCAGAUUUAGCAAUUGCACUCAUGAAAAUGUAAUCAACUGUAUACAUAAUUGAUACGCGUGACUGGUGCCGGGUGAAGGCAAAAUACAUACCGUAUAAAAAUGCUAAUGUCUUAAGAUGUUUCUUUUUUAAUGCGACAGAAUAUUCUAAAGUGGCUGACACUAGUUGAAGAGAAAAAGUUCAAAGAUUCGCAAUUAAUUCAACGCAUUCCAAACACUUGAAGGCGGGAAUUCAGGUUCAUGAACGUGCGACUCUUAUCGAGGCCUGAAAGUGCGAUGUCGCCCUAUUUUACACGCCAUUGUUCGACGUCUUUCAUACAAAAUGAGCUUUAAAAGAGGCAAAAUCACCGGAAGGAUCUUGUCUUCGAGUCUUUGUACGCAUACAAUAUACAAUUGAAUGAAAAGCAUAUUUCAUAUCUUCGCCAACAAGUCAUAUAUUUGUGCGACUCUAUAUGGACUUUAAAAUCUUAGACAAUAUUUAUAUCUUCUUUUUUAAAAGAAAGAAUAUUUCACAAUAAUACAAAGCUUAUGUUACUCAUAAAUAUAUUUUUUCUGUCUUCAGUUUUUCAGGAAGAUGCAUGUUUAUUUCAUGUCUGCCUGAACAAGAGAAUGACAUCAAUCUUUUUUGCUACAAAGUAAUUAAAUUCCAGUAUAUUUCGGGAUGGAGACCUUCGAGUUUAUACGUUUAUUGUAUCACUGUUAUCAGACAAGACAAAUGUCUUUUUUCUUGUUUACGAUAUCCGCGCAGCUGCUGGCUUAAUGUGCACGCGCGAAUACUCGCGCUACUUCGCCUUAAUAACGUAACAUAAAUCAUUACACAAAUAUAUACCGAGUUCAGAUAUAUUCGUUGUUACAGAAUUAACGAACAUCGUUAGAGGAAAAUGAAACGAGAGAGGAACUGCCAGUAUAAAUACCUAGUAUUGUGGUGAACAGUAAAUGUCCACUGAUUUCCUUCCCAUACCACAGCUAUCGAUCCUUGCGGGAUUUAUUAUUCGACACGUGUGACUCCUUGACCAGUCAAAUUUAGAUAAAAUGUACAAUUGGUAUUCACUGAAUGUCCGGUUACAUAAUUUAACACUGAUUAUUGUUUCUCACCAUUGAUUCAAUUUUACAUAGGAAAAAAUUAUUAAGAAAUGAUAAAUAUAAAUAAAAUGUAAUUAAAAAGUAGAAAGAAUGAAAAUAUUCAAAUACACUUUCAUUUUAGAUUAAUCAGAUACUUGCAUUAAAGUGUUUUGUAGCAUUGACCACAUGGAAAAGCAAGUUUACCGAGGAUGAAAAGGUUUUUUACUUAAAAAUUGUACUAAGCACUUGAAUGAAGAACACUUGUUGAAUCUAGUCCGAUGGUAAUUUAUUAAAAUUCUGUUUUUACACAAAAACAUCGUUUUUCUAUGGAACUAACAACGCGUGAAUAGCAGUAUGAAUAACUUAACAAUUUAGA